RNAcentral lists this ribosomal RNA (497 nucleotides) under uncultured bacterium. RNAcentral's name for it is "partial 16S ribosomal RNA". It matches the Rfam family "Bacterial small subunit ribosomal RNA", at positions 28 to 507 of the family's 1533-position model. The record is from RNAcentral.
GACGAACGCUGGCGGCGUGCCUAAUACAUGCAAGUAGAACGCUGAAGCUUGGUGCUUGCACCGAGCGGAUGAGUUGCGAACGGGUGAGUAACGCGUAGGUAACCUGCCUGGUAGCGGGGGAUAACUAUUGGAAACGAUAGCUAAUACCGCAUAAGAGUAGAUGUUGCAUGACAUUUGCUUAAAAGGUGCAAUUGCAUCACUACCAGAUGGACCUGCGUUGUAUUAGCUAGUUGGUGAGGUAACGGCUCACCAAGGCAACGAUACAUAGACGACCUGAGAGGGUGAUCAGCCACACUGGGACUGAGACACGGCCCAGACUCCUACGGGAGGCAGCAGUAGGGAAUCUUCGGCAAUGGACGGAAGUCUGACCGAGCAACGCCGCGUGAGUGAAGAAGGUUUUCGGAUCGUAAAGCUCUGUUGUAAGAGAAGAACGAGUGUGAGAGUGGAAAGUUCACACUGUGACGGUAUCUUACCAGAAAGGGACGGCUAACUACGUG